Molecule: long non-coding RNA, 234 nt
Filed under: Setaria italica (foxtail millet)
Lineage: Eukaryota; Viridiplantae; Streptophyta; Magnoliopsida; Poales; Poaceae
Description: long non-coding RNA (SITA_LNC007005)
Source: RNAcentral
GAGUUCAUUGGGGUGAGCAUAUCAGUGAUGUCGAGACCCAUCUUCUUCAGUAUCUUGGUGAGCAGUACAUUGAGACUGCUACCGCCAUCAAUGAGUACUUUUGUGAGUCUGGAGCCAGCAACAACUGGGUCCAGGAUGAGAGGAUACCGUCCUAGGUCUGAGAAACUAGUCCAUUGGUCCUUCCUGGAGAAGGUAAUUGGUACCUCGGACCAUUCGAGGAAUGUUGGUGUUGCA